RNAcentral lists this ribosomal RNA (198 nucleotides) under uncultured bacterium. RNAcentral's name for it is "partial 16S ribosomal RNA". It matches the Rfam family "Bacterial small subunit ribosomal RNA", at positions 328 to 539 of the family's 1533-position model. The record is from RNAcentral.
ACGCUCGACACCUACGAGAGGCAGCAGUUGGGAAUAUUGGACAAUGGAGGAAACUCUGAUCCAGUGACGCCGCGUGAAGGAAGAAGGUCUUCGGAUUGUAAACUUAUUUUGUCAGGGAAGAAAAAUGACUGUACCUGAAGAAAAAGCACCGGCUAACUACGUGCCAGCAGCNCGGUAAUCUGAGCGGGCUGGCAAGGC